This is a long non-coding RNA of Parus major (Great Tit), 3752 nucleotides long. Ensembl lists it as uncharacterized. Lineage: Eukaryota; Metazoa; Chordata; Aves; Passeriformes; Paridae. The record is from Ensembl.
CCCUGAGCACAUUUUGCACUCAGAUUAAUAACCACUUUAUCAUCACAAGCCUUCCUGGGGCUGCCCAUUUAGGGUUUUUGUUUUGGUUUGGUUUUGUUUCUUUCAUAAAACAGGGUCAGCAUGGUUCUCUCUAGCAUUUGUAAAGAAGUACAUGAAUGAUCUGUCCCCUUUAUUCAGAUCAUUCAUUUCACAUUUGGAAGCUGGCCUUAUUUUCAGUAAUCAGGCUGGUACAUAGAAGCUGGCUGGUGUAAGUGGUCUGGUUGGGGAUUUUUCUGGUUUUGGUUGUUUUUUUCAGUAUGUGAUUCCAGGCGGGUCGAGGGGAGCUGGGGUUUGCUUGCAGUCAGUGCUCAGGAGUGCCAUCAGAAGGAGAUCUCCGGCAGCGCUUGCGCUGUUUCCAUAUCACAAACUGGGAGCGCAACCCACGGCGCUGGGCUCGGUGUGAGGCUCCUGAGAUGAGUGUGUGCAGAGACCUGGGUUAGCUGCCUCUCGCCACUGCAGGGGGCUCCCAGCUGCUGGAUAGCCUCUCCUCCUCUCCUGCCUUCACUGCUAACUCUGCUGGGGCCAAGUCAAGCUGCCCAACUUCUCAACGGGGCUUGGAGCGCUUUCUUUUUGAUGUGUCUGGACAGAGACUUUUAAGCCUUGCAGGUAGAGGAGAAUCCAUAAUAAGAUAAAGCAAAAAAGAGGAGGAAGGUUUUCUUUCCCAGUCCAGAAAAAAUAACCUGUUGGAUUAUAAUCUGCAAACAGUGGAGAGUGCCAGCAUGAGCAACGAGGGGCCAGAGAAUCCCAUCGCAUCUACACUGACCGAGGGCAUGAAGAGGAAGAGGGGGAGACCAAAGAAGAAGCCACAGGAGGAUGGUGGAAACACAGCUGUUAUCCCACAGGAUGGUGUGGAACCACAGCCAGUGAAGAAACCACGAGGAAGGCCAAAAGGAAGCAAGAAACUGACUACUAUAACUGGGGGAAUGAAAGAUCCUUCUGCUGGGAAAAGGCCAAGAGGGAGACCCCGCAAGUGGCCUCAAGCAGUGGUCCAAGAAGGAGAAUCUGAGGGUGGGAAUCCUCUGGAAAGCAGUGACUCGAAUUUGAACUCUGCACCAGCCACACAAGGCCUCACUGGUUCCAGGUCUGGCAAAACCACUGGUCUUAGGAGAUGUCUGAGUAACAUCCCUGCUGCAGCUCAGUAGAGUCCCACCUGCUCAUGUCUUGCUGAAGCCAGAGGACUGGAAAGCAAACAGGACUUCCAAUGUUGUAUUUGAGAUUCAUUUGUGAUAAUUUCAGCCAAGUUCUCUCCUGUUGCCUGUGGACUUGCUUACCCCAAACACCCAAACAAGGAUUUAGAGGAAGAAAUGGCAAAUGCCUUGUUGGAGAGUUGCCUUUUACAGUUUGUAGUAUAUCCUUUGUGAGUCUAACAAUUUUUCUUUAAAAUACUUGUAUAACCUGGUGCCUUCCCCUGACACAGAGAGCAGUAUUUCAACAGAAGUUGACUCAGCAAUUACAGAUACAGGAAAGGAAAUGUAUUUACACAUCUAUUACACAGCCAAUGGCUGAGCUUGUCUGCUGUAUCACCUCUGGCAGACUGAUGGAGCAGUGCCACCAGUUAAGUUUUGCUGUGUUACCCAUAGGGAUUGCAUCUGAAAGACAGUCUUUGAGUCCUUUAUUAACUAGUUCAGAAAGAAAAGCCUUCAUGGCAUUUCCAGCUUGCCCCAGUGGCCAGUAACUUGCAUGCUUUAGGGGAAAGUUUGCACCCUGAUGUCUUAGGGAUUGAUUCUGAAAUGUUUAUCUUAAACAAAAAUUGUUAUGUGAACAGCUCAGGGCCUUCUUCUAUAUCUUCUGGCCUAGUGGCUUUCCCCCUGAGUUGGAUAGCAGCUCUAAGUGCACAGUGCUCACAAGCUUAGUCACAGCCACUGGAUUUGAUCCCUUCAAAGGAGUGUUUUUAAGGAACCAGUUCUACAAAAGUUGCUUCCUUGCAGAGCCUCGGGAUUACAUUUAAAUUAUUCCAGUUCAGUCCCUAACAUGCGUGUGUGAGGUCCUCUAGUGUCACAACUAUGCAAAUGAAAGCUGCUGAUAGUUUAGUUUUGGGAGACAGCAAUAGCCAGUUGGUUUGAGAUUGUUGCUGGCUGCUCUGUUUCACACUGUUUGCAGGUUUUGUGCUUUUGGUGUCAGAGCUGAACUUGUUAAAUUCUGAGGAAUUGAGGGUAUUUCCAAUAUCCAGUUGCAAAUAGUGAAAUCCCGGUGGUAUUUUCCAUCUCCUGGAUGUUUUGCCUGCCUAUUAAAGGGACAAAGUGGGUAUUUCAAUUAUCUCUGACAGGAUGUAAAAUUGGCUAGCUUUACAGUGUUAAAUAUUUAAACAGAACAUAAUUUGCUUUAAAUUUAUGGUGGUGCAGAGCAGAAAGCCAUGAAAUGGAUGUAUAUAUUGAACUCAUUUAUUAUCUUUUCAUCAGAGUUCUGUUCCCUUGGCAAGUAUUUAUUUAACACAAGAAAAUGUAUGCAGAAUUAAGAAGGGCUGAUUGGAAAGAUAAUGGGGGAAAAGUGUUUUUUUUUCUUUUUAGGUCAUCUUGUUCAGUCCACCCAGUUUAGUACUGAUGAGUCCUUAUCCCAUUAAUUCUGCUUAGUAGUGAUGAGAUUCCCAGUCCUAAUUCUGUGUGGUGUCUGAUUUGCCCUAAGGGAACUCUCUUGUGUAUGGAGCUUGGUGGUCACAGCAGAAAACUGCAUCACAGCUAAUCUUUGUGCCUCCACUACCAAAUAGCAGAGAAAUCAAGGACUAAAUGGAUUAGAUCACAGGGACUGACCUAAAUCCUGUGCUAUGGGAUGAGCUGUGCUGCCAGAUACGAGGAGGAGUUUGACCCCCAGCUGGUGCUGUGGGGAUAAUUCCAGGUGGGACGUGACACAAGUGAGUCUGUGCUGCUGAUGGUUACAUGAGAAGGGGAAUUCUGCUGCUCUCCAGUGCACACACAGGUUCAGCUGCAGUUUAUGUCUGCAUUCAAAGGCCACUCCAGUAGCAGACCAAAAUGUUUUACCAACUUCUGUGCCUGAUUUCCAGUUGAAUUGGCAGGUUCAGUGUCUGUUUGCAAGGCUGUGCUGCCUAUUUAUUUAACCCCUGCUACCUGAGAGUAAUAGCUGUUGCAGUGUGAGACUGGAACUUCAGCUUCUAAAUGGAUUAGGGAUUACAUCUGUAAAAGACUCAAGCUUUUCCUGUGACAUCAGACAGUCCUUUCUCAGCUGGUGGCAUGGAAUAGGGGUGCAAACUGCCUUGGCUAGAUAGUAAAUCCAUCUGCUUUAGGUCAGCAGUAUUCCUUUGGGAAGUACCUGCAAAGUACUUCUCUUAAAACUAAAAAAAUCCCCCAAAAAUCUAGUCUUUGCUACCUCUUACUACUCUGCUGAAAAACCACAGUAAAAAACUUGUUUCCAUGAAAAUGCAAGUGCUGCAGGAGAACAAACAGAAUUCCACUCUUUUAGGAGCUCUUCUGUGUGCCCAUAGCUUCAGCUUCCAUGUUUACACAGAGAAUUAGAAUGGAAGUCAAUGUCUAUGAAAGGGGCAGAAGUCCAGACAUCUUCAGGGAGCUGGGAUCUCUCACUGGAUCACUUGGAUUGUCUUCUUUGAAAUUAUAAACAUUUUUAUUACCUAUAUAGUUAAUUACCUUUUCUGUAUAGACAGACCUACCUCGAGGCAAGUAUACAUCAAGUUUUUUUUUAAGCUCAGGCAGUUUUGGUCUGACUUGGCCAAAAAUAAAAGGUCAUUGCAGUAAGUUAAAUCA